GCUACAAUAGGUUGUAUUGGCCACACAAGCGUGUGGGCUCAUUUUCUGUAAAAUUUAGUUAGAGAUGUGUUUCAAAGUGCAUUUCGAUGUUAGCAAUAUUAUAGGCUUUGUUAAGUGAUAUUCAUGCUUCUGGUAUAUAAAUCUAUGGUUUUGCCUUUGUAUAAGUAUUUUCUGAGUAUGUUGUUAGCAUGAUUCUGAAAAGUAAGUAUGUCUAAUAUGUGUGCAUUUAAAUAUCUGGUUAUGCUUAUGUUGCAUCUGCAUUGGGGUGAAAUAAUUAUGUGACGGAGAAAGAGUUGGCAGUUUAAUGAUCUGUCGUAUCUGGUGGUUUAACCACAUAUUUGUUCUGGCAGCUUGGCCGCAAAUCUGGUGGCUUGACUUGUAGCAACCUGAAAGUCAGGGGUGACGAAAAAUGCGAUUUCGAGUAUGUACAGCUCAAUAUUUGCCCAGCCCAAAUUAACCCACCUAGACUAAACCCAAACCCAAAUGGCCCAAUUACAACCAAUACCAACCCAAACCUAGACCCAAACAAGCCCAAAUAAAAGCAAAUAACAACCCAAAAAAUACAGCCCAAACCCAAUGAAAACUAGGGUUUCAGAACCCUGGUGCCCCCAUGUGCGCCGUACAUUCCUUCUGACCCUCUACCGACGCCGUCUGCAGGCUACCCCGUCCGUGUCACGUCUCCUCCACCGCCCUACACCUGCAAACAAUAAAGAGAGUCUACAGCAACAAGCAACAGGGGGUUUUUGCUUUUGAUUUUCGGUAUAAAAACCGAUUUUAAAACAGUUUGAGGCGGGUUCUUUUUUCUUUUCUUUUCUUUCAACUUUUGUAACAAAAAUAGAUUAAAACAAAAAGAAAAUAAAAAAGAGAUUUCAAGGUGAUUGCUGGUUUUUUUUUUCAUUUAUGUUUUCCUAGUUGUUUUAUUUUUUUAUUUUUGUCAUUUUCUGUUUAUUUAUUCGCAUAUAUAUAAUACAAUAAGGAAAAAGAAAAACUCACCGGCCAGGGCUUUGAACGCCCGUUCUGACGCUUCGUCGGCCGUCGGAAGUGGUGGCGGUGCGGCGAGCGUUACGGCGGCGCGAAGAGAACCCCAAGAGUCGGAAGUUUGAGAGAAAAAGAAGAGGGGUUCUGGUUUUUU
This 1132-nucleotide long non-coding RNA is filed under the name Gossypium barbadense (sea-island cotton). RNAcentral describes it as "long non-coding RNA (GBAR_LNC015843)". Lineage: Eukaryota; Viridiplantae; Streptophyta; Magnoliopsida; Malvales; Malvaceae. The record is from RNAcentral.